GAUGAAGAACGUAGCGAAAUGCGAUAAGUAAUGUGAAUUGCAGAAUUCAGUGAAUCAUCGAAUCUUUGAACGCACAUUGCGCCCAUUAGUAUUCUAGUGGGCAUGCCUGUUCGAGCGUCAUUAAGUCCACUUAAGCCUAGCUUAGUGUUGGGAGACUGCUCCAGUGGUGCUACCCUGUAGCUACCCUGCAGCUCCUUAAAGACAGCGGCGGAGUCGUGUUAUCCUCUGAGCUUAGUAAAUCAUUCUAGCUUUCGAGAGUAUCACUUCACCUGCCGUUAAACCACCUAAUUUUUAUGGUUGACCUCGGAUCAGGUAGGAAUACCCGCUGAACUUAAGCAUAUCAUAAGCGGAGGA
RNAcentral lists this unclassified non-coding RNA (354 nucleotides) under soil metagenome. RNAcentral's name for it is "partial contains 5.8S ribosomal RNA, internal transcribed spacer 2, and large subunit ribosomal RNA". The stretch from base 1 to 120 matches the Rfam family "5.8S ribosomal RNA", at positions 35 to 154 of the family's 154-position model. The record is from RNAcentral.